This is a long non-coding RNA of Papio anubis (olive baboon), 2635 nucleotides long. The record is from Ensembl. NCBI's taxonomy places the organism in Eukaryota, Metazoa, Chordata, Mammalia, Primates, Cercopithecidae.
AUAUGAUUUAUUUUAUAUGACCGCCAGUGCAGGCGCCAGAGAAGAGGCAGGUAGGCAAGAGUAAAAAGAGACUUUAUUAGCUAGCCAAUGUGAAGGGGGAAAAAGCGAGGUUCACUGGUCUCCGGCGGAGGAGGCCGUGGACGUCGCUCCGGCGUUCUCGGGGGAAGUUCCUAAGUCCGCAUAUGAGGAGGAGCCGAAGAAGUUCGCGCCGGGCGUCUGCCCGGAGCGGCUUUUUACGUCUAGGGCCUGGGGGUGGGAGGGCAGUAGGCGGGCCACGGGCAGGUUGGGGCCGUGCCGAAGGCGCGGCCAAGUAGGUUUCGGUUUCUUCGCGCGGACCUCACGUUGCGCCUGCGCAGUUGGUCUGUGGUUUCCCCGGGCGCGGGUAAGUUGGUGAUGAAGAACCCGGAAAUACGCCAUCUUAGUCGUCUUUGUUCUCUCUCCCGUCCAGAGAGUAUAGUUUUCCUUUUAAUUAUAUUUUAUCACUUUUGGUAUCAGAAUAAUGCUAGCCUACAUAAGUAAGAAGAGCAAAACUCAGACACAGAUACACAGGAGCGUAGCAUGUGAAGACAGAGGCAGAGACUGGAGUGAUGCAUGUAUAAGUUAAGAAACCCUAGGGCUACCAGAAGAUGAAAGAAACAAGGAAGGAUACUCCCUUGAAGGCCUCAGAGGGAGCAUGGCUCUGCUGACUCCUUGGUUUCAGGCAUCUGGUCUCCACAACUGUGACCUUUUGGCCCACCACACACCCCCUAUCCUGUACCAUAUAAACCCAAAGCCCCAGGCUCCACAGCAGAAGAGCACAGGAACAGAAGAACAGUGCAGCAGAAAAGGAGAGAAGAGAAAGGGUGUCUGAACAUUGAGAGGUGUUCAGCUGGUGAUGGUCAGAGAGGAGAUCGCCAUGGGACGGUCAAACUUCAGGGGAAGAUCAUAUUCCCACUCCUUACCAUUUCCAGCUCCCCAUUCAUCCUGCUGACAGCCACCUCCAUCUGGCAAUAAAAUCCCCUGCAUUUACCAUCCUUCAAUUUGUCUGUGUGACCUGAUUCUUUCUGGAUGCCCAACAACAGCCCAGAUACCAAGAGGGCACUGAGCUGGUUAAACUUAAGCCACCUGCAAAUGGCAGAGCCGAAAGAGCACUAUAAUAUGCCAAUGGGGGCUUCAGAAGUCACAGGAACCCACCCCUAGAUGCUACUGUGGGGCUGGAGCCCCAAAGCACUCACCCUGGCUCCUGCACCUGCCCAUCUGCAUGUUCCCCUCCCAUAUGGGGUUUGAGCACGUGGCAGCCAAGCAGAUGAGCCACAUCCUUGUGGCACAUGCUGCAAGGGAGUUCAGGGAACUCUCCUGUUUCAUAACCGUAGUUGAAAGUAACUUUCCAUUGUUUCCGGUUAACAAUAUCCUUGCAGUUUUCUAGCUUUUAUUCAUUUGUUUAUUGGUGAUACUGAAUAGUUAGAAAAAAAAUAGGGGGGCAUGGCAUUACGUAAUAUUUUUUAGAUGCAAAAAUAGUAAGUGUUAAUUGUUCUUACAACAAAAAUGUUAGCUGUAUGAAGUAAUUACUUAGACUUAACCACUCCAUAAUGUAUAUAUACUUCAAAACAUCAUGUACAUGAUAAAUACAUAUAAUCAUAUCAGUCAAUUAAAAAUAUUACUAAAAUACAUAAAUAAGAAAUGCUGCUCUGGUCAUGGACUAUGGGCUAAUGAGAAUAAAGAGACACUGAGAUCUGGGAAAUGAACUGUAUGGUUGUUGUUGCAAAGUUCUAACUGAAUGACGUGCGAACUAUAAUCUGUAGAAGAUAAGCUACAGGCUACUUGAAUUUUAGAGAACAGAAACAUAGUACUGAAGGAUGCAUGAAGUAUUUUUAAUGUUUUAAGAAAAUGAAAGAGAAAGAGAGAGGGAAAACCUUAACAUUUACUCACAAGACUGUUAACACUGCUCAAAAACUUUCAGGUUUAUUUGGUUUUGUCUUAAGUGAAAUGAACUUAGUUUUUAAACCUUGAAUAACUAAUUGGAAACAUAAAAUGCUUUACCACCCAUUAAUUUUUAAUGAGUAAAACAGUGUGUUAAGGGAAAACAACAGAAGGGAUUUUGACGGUAGCAGCUCAGGGUCAUUGCCUUAGGUCUGGUUCUUUCUACACCUUGCUUACUCAGAGAUGGCCUGCUCCCCACAGCCUGCUCAAUCAGCAAUCUCAAUUAUAGGGAGAAAGAGAACCAAGGUUAUUUCUUCUUGCUUCAGAACUGAGAAUAAUUUUAAUUUCAGAGAAAUAUGUAACUGCCACUCUGAUUUAUAGAAGAAUAUGUGCAUAUAAGAGUUAAAAGAAUUCCAAAAGUGAUGUAGUUUAUUUAUUGCCAAAAUAUGAAGCUAAUUUAUAUUCAUUUAUACUGAAAGUAGGGCACACUUGACAGCUAUUAAUCCAUACAGUAAUUAACAUUUGCUUUGCAAGCUGAAGAUAAUAUAAAAAGCUAAUGCUGCGAUAUAAAAUGUUUCAAUGGAUCAUAAUUAACACAAACUUUGGUUUCUGAUUAAUCAUUUUUUCUUAGAUUAUUUUAUAAAUUAUGCCUAAAUAAUGAAAAGGAAUAUAAAAUUUUGAUACUAAAUGAUGGAAGUCCAAAAAUGAAUUAUAAUUUUACUUUGCUAUUAUUUUC